Long non-coding RNA from Manis pentadactyla (Chinese pangolin), 351 nucleotides. RefSeq lists it as uncharacterized. The transcript has 3 exons. Lineage: Eukaryota; Metazoa; Chordata; Mammalia; Pholidota; Manidae. The record is from RefSeq and is a predicted model, not a curated record.
CAUUUUUUUCCCUGAAGAAGAAUUUUGGAGACGUUUUUGUAGCCCUCAUGCAGCAGUGCUUGGAUGGCUUACAAUGGUGAACUGCGUACUUACAGGGGAAAAUGGCUGGGGGCAGGUGGAAAGCAGGACCCAGUCCAGGAUACCAAAUUGCUCUUAGAACUCCAACUUUUGAGGAAAAUUAGGACCAGAGUUAUAAAAACCUCAGAGCUGAUGGAUAGUGACUGAGAUUCAGAAUCAGGAAGAAAAAACAGAAACAGCACACACGGGCGAUUGCUGAUUCUGAAAGCUGUGGCUAAGAGGAUGCAAACUGAGAAGGCUUUGGACAGAUUCAUGGAGAUGGGAGGCCUAAAC